Molecule: long non-coding RNA, 1048 nt
Organism: Micropterus dolomieu (smallmouth bass)
Lineage: Eukaryota; Metazoa; Chordata; Actinopteri; Centrarchiformes; Centrarchidae
Exons: 2
Source: RefSeq, a predicted model, not a curated record
GCCACCUAUCCCUGUAAAUGAGACAGCACUGGGCUUCACAGGCUGGGAGGAGUUAGUGGGCAGGUCAAAGUAGCAUUAGCUGCAAACAUGCGGGAAUGCAGUGAAACAGGAUGGACCAGAAGUGGAACUCCCUCUGGAUAAGACCAAGACCAUGCUGGGGGAUGGCUGAAGGACGCCUGAUUGUAAUGUUCCCCAUGAAUGAUGAACGUAUGAUGCAGAGCAGGACAACACACACUUAUCUUUUCUUCCAGAGAUGUAGCUGUUUGCAAACAGGAGCACACCCCAGAGGGUCCCUGGGAUGGAACAGGUUUCCUUUAGUUUAAUAUAUAAAGAUCACCACUCACUAGAUAAAAGCUUGCUAGAGGUGCUGGAGCUGAUAUUUAGCAUAUAAGAAAGAGCAUCCCCACACUGCAGUCUGUGCCAUAUUGAUUUAGUGAGGAAAGCUUUCAGAGAGGAAUCUUCUUCAAGCAUUUCUUCAACCUUUAAAUGGCACAUUUAAGAACAAAAGAGAGUGGAGUGAGUCAAAAUGGCGAGGAAAAACACACCACAACACCUAAAUACACAUUUAACAACAGAAAAAGGAAAUAACCAAGUGCACAAGAUGCAUCACAUGUAUAGUAAUACAUGUAUACCCACAUUAUGACAAAGAGCAUUGGUGUGUACCAUAAGAAUCCCUAGUUAUGAAUCUACCAGCAGUGUGAUUUGACUCCUGGACCAUCAGGGGAACUCCAUGCUCUUUUACUCCAUGUGGACAUUUGCUGAAAGGCUGUGUCACAGUUCACAUCUCAGGUUUAGGUCACCCAAAUGGCAAACAAACAUAUAUUCUCACUUAUAUAUCUAGAGGUAUCUAACAAUGUGGUGUAAGUAGUUUUGGUUUUAUUUGUCCAGGUUUUGAGAUCUGUCUCUGGGAUUUCUGUCGCCACCCUAAUACAAUGGAGGUGAAAGGAAUUUAGUUUGUGCUACUCACAGCAUUGAAGUUUUAAAAAAAUAAAAUAAAAAUUCUAGAGCAACAUGCCUUUCGAUAAACCUGUUACUCUGGAUAAUCACA